ACAGGUCUGAACCUGUUCAAGGUCACGUAGUUCUCUUUGUUCUUUUUCUAACUGCGUAAUAGAUGACUCAUUCUGUUCUAGAAUUUUCUAACUGCGUAGUAGAUGACGUCAUCAGACAGGUUUGAACCUGUUCAAGGUCACGUAACUGCGUAGUUUUCUUUGUUCUAUUCCUAACUGCGCAGUAGAUGACUCAUUCUGUUCUAGAAUUUUCUUACUGCGCAUUAGAUGACGUCAUCAAACCGGUUUUGAGGUAGAGGAGUGGGGGUAACUGCGCAGUAUUUUCUGCCUAUAUAAGCAGCUU
Cotesia glomerata is the source of this 301-nucleotide long non-coding RNA. RefSeq lists it as uncharacterized. The record is from RefSeq and is a predicted model, not a curated record. Lineage: Eukaryota; Metazoa; Arthropoda; Insecta; Hymenoptera; Braconidae. The transcript is spliced from 3 exons.